This is a long non-coding RNA of Neogobius melanostomus (round goby), 1871 nucleotides long. NCBI's taxonomy places the organism in Eukaryota, Metazoa, Chordata, Actinopteri, Gobiiformes, Gobiidae. The record is from Ensembl.
GUGGACUCCGAUGCGGACCCGCUUUGCGGAUUCACCGCGGAUCUUGACACCUCCGCCCUGAGCGGAUCUGGGGCGGACACUUUUUGCUAUCUGGGAGGCUAUGCCUGAAGCCAAUAGACCUCGAGGCCGGUAGCCGAAUUUGUUUUCCUAGGAUGGAAAAGGGCUUUUCCCAUUGAGUGUUUUUAAGGUAAAGGUUAGGUUUAGGUCUACGGGUAGUUUGGAUCAAUUUAAACUAGAGUUGUGCUCAAAUGUGGCCUUUCCCAUCCUAGGAAAAAAAAAAUCGCAGGCCGUAUACACCAUUGCCCAUCCUCCUUUAGGCUAUACUGUAGGUGUGAGUGCUUAAUUGCCAGCAGAGGGCAGAAACACUCCAUAGUCAACAUGUUGCAAAAACAUGUUACAAAACCAUAGACAUAUUAUUAAUGACAAACACGUUAACUUUGUUGUUAAAGUAAACGGAAGUGGAUAUAAGGAAGCCAGAAUAUUUACACAAGGGCGCAAAAAAAAAGGAGUAUGUUUCCGGUCAUAAUCUGAAGGAACAUCCGGCGCUUGCGCUGAUCGGUCCGAUCGCGGACUUGACAGACUGCUUGCCGCACGCUCACUUGUGUCGGGUUCAUUCAGAGGAGCAGUCCGCUGUCCCGGGGCGCUCUUCACGAUUAAACAACUGGGAGAAUUUUUAUUGUAGUUUAAGGACGAACUGCGACACGCGUGCAUGCAUUAAAACACACCUCGCGGACUCGAUGAUCAUUCAACUUUUGUCUUUUUUUGCGCAUUUUUGAGGAGGACAGUCUCGUGUUGUGGAUGCGAACUCACAACUAGCUCUGCGUGUUUUUGGAUGGGAACGUCUGCUGCUUCAUUCACACAAUCGGCAUGGACCCUUAGUGCAACAAGCCAAGCUAACAGGUGGUCCGGGUGUUCCAGGUCAAGCUGCUGCUGGCUAAGGAGGAGCGUUUGUUUUUGUUCCACCCGGUGCUGUGAUUUCAGCUGUUUAGAGACUAGGUGAGGCUCACACCUGAUGCUCCCUGUGAAUAAAUCAAACCUCCACUGCUCACAAAGACUGGCCCUAAUGCUCUGCUAACGGCUCUAAAAGGAGAAGAGACAGUUAAUCUGCUUUGCCUUUGUUUGACAUGUUCCCAUAGUAACUAAUCAACUUCAUCUAUUCAAAAUAAGUUAUCCUUUAGUUUCAUUUAUUUGUAGAGUGUCGGGCGGUCUGCCUUUGUUAGAUUCUUGUGGUCAUGUAGCCCUGCCUUGAACCUGCACAACUCUUUUCUUUGAGCGUCCAUACACUUCUGAAUAGCUGACCAUCUGUCUGCUUUAGGCUCUACAAGUAACAUAUCGCGUUACCCCACUUGUCUGUGCCGGACUGUGGGGGAUAAACUAUAAGGCAUAUUCGAGUGCGGAGUGUAAGGAAUCCACGCUAGCAAUGGUACAUAACAGAACAUCCCUGAUAAAUGCUGGACUUUGCCAACUGUUAGGCUGAUCAACUUUAUGCGGGCGAGGAGAGAAGCACAAGAGGUUCUUUUGGGGUGAAAAUGGGAAUUGAAGGCACAAAUGACAAUUGAUUUCUCAGGGGUUGUAUCAAUUUCUUGUUCCAAGCUGAAGCGUUCCCCGGUGUGGUCCUCUGCUGCUGGAGCCCAUCUGCUUCGAGGCGCCCUGUGCUUUCAGAAAUGAUCUAACACACAAGUUGGUAAUAACAACUGAUAUAUUAAGUUACUGUUGCCUUUUGUCAUCUCAGACUACAUUGGUCACUGGUCUCUUCUGGCGUCAACCAGACCAAAGUGGCACCCCACAGAUAUUUUUGCUUUUUAGACUGUUCUUGUCAACCCUAGAGAUGGUUGUGUGUUCAGAUAAUAGGCAAUCCCAAUUAUUAACAU